RNAcentral lists this ribosomal RNA (466 nucleotides) under uncultured bacterium. RNAcentral describes it as "partial 16S ribosomal RNA". It matches the Rfam family "Bacterial small subunit ribosomal RNA", at positions 28 to 507 of the family's 1533-position model. The record is from RNAcentral.
GACGAACGCUGGCGGCGUGCUUAACACAUGCAAGUCGAACGGAAAGGCCUCUUUCGGGGGGUACUCGAGUGGCGAACGGGUGAGUAACACGUGAGUAACCUGCCCUUGACUUUGGGAUAACUUCAGGAAACUGGGGCUAAUACCGGAUAGGAGCUCCUGCUGCAUGGUGGGGGUUGGAAAGUUUCGGCGGUUGGGGAUGGACUCGCGGCUUUCAGCUUGUUGGUGGGGUAGUGGGUUACCAAGGCCUUGACGGGUAGCCGGCCUGAGAGGGUGACCGGCCACAUUGGGACUGAGAUACGGCCCAGACUCCUACGGGAGGCAGCAGUGGGGAAUAUUGCACAAUGGGUGGAAGCCUGAUGCAGCAACGCCGUGUGCGGGAUGACGGCCUUCGGGUUGUAAACCGCUUUCGCUCAUGACGAAGCUUUGUGUGACGGUAGUGGGUAAAGAAGCACCGGCUAACUACGUG